This is a non-coding RNA of Pimephales promelas (fathead minnow), 1167 nucleotides long. NCBI's taxonomy places the organism in Eukaryota, Metazoa, Chordata, Actinopteri, Cypriniformes, Leuciscidae. The record is from RefSeq and is a predicted model, not a curated record.
AGCAUGGGUGUAGUUUAAUUUAAAUACUAGUUUUAUGGUAAAAUUACUAAAAGUAUUAUGUUUAUGCAGUAAAAAUAAGCGAGUUUCAUAGCAUCAAAUUAAUAGUAUAAUAUUUCAAGUCAACAAAAUGUCACAGAUUUAAACCAACGUAACCAGAUCAUUUUAAACCAACUAGCGGUUGAAGAUUGUCCCAAAGCGCUUUCCGUACAUUCAAUCUCGCACAUGAUGCACGAGAAGAUAAUAGCAUUUUCCACCUGUCCUUGGGCAACUUUUGAAUCCAUUAUCAUCCAUAAACUAUUUGCUCUUUAUUAAAUAAGUGCUGCUGUCUGUCUGUUAUGCCUGAGGAAGAAAGGAAAGCACUGAUAUUGGAGGUGAAAAAGAAGAACAACCAACAGCUAAUCAAAAGUAAAAUGGAAAGAACCUUUGCCUAUAGAAGACAGGAAGUUGUUAAAGAUAUGCCCUUCAUAGCAGAGUUCAAAAACAGAUGGCCAGCCCUGUUUUCUGAGAGCCAGGUAAAUGCAGAAUUCACCCUCAUCACCACAGCCCCCCUGUUCUCAACCUUUAUGUCCCGACUGGAUCAUUACUCCAACCAGCCAUUGAGGGUAUUCAAAAAGAAGGGGGGAACAGCAAGACGCGAUAUCGACGUAAUCAUUGCGGAAAUGGACAAGAAUCCCAGUGUUGAAGUACGACGGACUGAAAUGAAAAGCCUGGCAGCCUUAUUAAGGAGCACUGAGCACUGAGAUGAGAGAGGCUAUCGAGGAUAUUGGUAUUGAUGCAAUGACGGAAAUGGAGAAACUGGCUUUGGGUCUCUAUGUUGUUCGACAUGAUGGAGCAGAUGCUACAGAUCCACCUGAGGAUGUUGGCAUCGUCAUUGAAGGCUGCACAGUGCUGCGAGAUCUGAGAGAGGUUACAAAUGGAUGUGCAGUCCUGUUUGGCUUGAUCUACUGUUUAAACUUGAGCUAUCCCAUGGAGCUGCGAUACUUUCGAAUUUCUUCAGGAAGUGUUAAUGGAAAUGGAUGGAUGAGAACAAGCUCUCCACUAAAGUGCAGGUCCUCAAAAACAAACUGCAUGAGUAAAAUCACCUGCACCAGGCAAGACUGGACCUGGCCUUUUGUUGACUGCUGCUUUAUUUUUGGACUGCUGCUGGACAAGGUAAAGGUGUGAUCA